CCCAAGUUGAAGGCAGACACUUAACUGACCAAGCCACCCAGAUUUAAAAACAAAAACGCAACAACAAACCAAGGCCACAGAAAUUAAAUGUUGGUCCAGAAUUUCCACAGAUAGAUAGUGCAGAGCUGGGGCCUCAAAUCCCUGAACAGUGUGGAAGUUAAUGUAGAAAAGACAAAGAAAAGAAAGGAUGGUGUCUAGGAAACUAGCAUCACUUCCCAUGUGAUUUCUCAGUAGUACCAGUACGUAAAGAUGCACCAUCAGGGAUCAAGGUCAUGCUGGCUUCAGGAUAAGUUGGGAAGUCUUCCCUCCAUUUCCAUUUUGAAACCGCUUCAGAAGAACAGAGCUGAUUGUCCUUUGAAGCUGCUGUCUAGGUGUACAACGAUGAAACGUGGCAGAUGCUGUUUGUGCAAUCCUCAGUAUUGCCCCCGAAAUCAAUAUUACCGCCCCCAUUUUACAGGUAAACUGAAUCUCAGAGGCCUUAUGCAACUUGUCUAAUAUCAUACAGCAGAGAGAGGAUGAACUGAAGACAAUUAAUGUCUAGUUGCUUCUCAACUAUGUGCCUAGGUGGUGACCUCCUUUUGAAUUUGUUCCUUUUUCUUCCUGUUUCAUAAUAAUAGCUUUCUUUUCAUUCUUUCUCUUUUACUGCUAGGCAAUGACCAAUCAUACAUAUGUCGUUCUUGAGUUUCCUCCUAAUAAGUCAAAAGUAUUGAGUGGAUUUUCCUGUAAGUGUCUUGCCAUCCUGGCAAUCUCACUGUGGCCUGAUGUUUUGUGAGGGAGUUGAAAGGAUUAGUCAUGAAUGGAGCUUUUUGAGUUUAGCUCUCUGUUGACAUUGAUUUGUAGACUGUUUAGCAGUGGUGAGGAAAGAUCUGGCAGAUUAAUCACUACUUCCGUUGGUACUUUCCGGUAUUAUCCAUUGUCUUCCUUGCAGAGCUUGAAUGACACCUAAUUAAAUGCUCAGAAUAGAAAGGGACAAAGGAAAUUCUAGGAAAGAGAAAUACUACUUUGAGUGGGAAAAUCUAUCACUUCCCAGUGAUCAGUGGACUUGAAUCAAGUCAAGUUCUGAACUCUAGUUUCUCUCCUUCCAAGGAGAGCCACAAAUGAUAUUAUGUCCUUCUCAGCAUAUAUCAGGAAUCACAGGAUGUUGGUUUGUUCCAUUAUUGCUCCAUUAUUAUUAUUGUUCCAUUAUUGUUGAUAGUAAUUUUUGAUCUUUUGCUUAAGGUCCAAAGUUUGACUUGACACCAUAAAUAAACAUGUGUGCUAUGUUUGGGAAAUUGAGCCUGAUGAAUGCCGCCUGCCCAGUACCUAAAAUACUCAUAUUCUUAAUUCAGUAGAACCCAGAAGACUCAUCCCCAAGUUGAGCACAGGCUCACCCAUGUGAGAUGCUGAUUUACAAGUGAGUCAGGAGAGGAAGAAUGUUGAACAAAGGGCAGUCGUUUUGCCAAAAAGGAUGGCAGGAGAAACAUUUGGGUUUAGGGGAUGCAAAAUCCCGAAAAAGGUUACAGCUGUGACCUGGACAGUUAGAGUCCCAACAAUGGCCCUUGGUGCUUCAACAGGCUUGUUCUCUUGUGUAGGUUUGCACGUUGUCCUGGAAGCUUAACAUUGAGCUUGGUUCUCUAGUCCUCCUGACAACUCUGUAAAUUCUCCAAUCAGUAUUUCUUCUAAUAAGAUGUAAUUUACAUAUAAUAAAAUGUACCUAUCGUAAAUAUAUAGUUCAAUGGGUUUUUGACAAUUGCAUACACUUGUGUUAUUUCAACCCUUUAUUUGGGUUUCAACAAAAUAAAGAUAUAGAACAUUUCUGUCACCCCAGAAAGUUCCCGUGUGUGCCUUUAUAGCUGCUAUAUACUGAAUGGCUGUGUCCCCCCAAAGUUCAAAUGUUGAAAUCCUCAGUGUGAUGUGUUGAGAGGUGGGCCUUUGGUAGUUUGUUACAUUAUGAGAUGGAGCCCUUAUGAAUGGGCUUUAUGCUCAUACUGAAGAGAGUCUGAGAGUUCCCUUGCCCCUUCCACCAUGUGAAGUUAUGCCAAGAAGACAGCUAUCUACUGUUGUUCAACAUAGUACUGGAAGUCCUACCUUCAGCAAUCAGAUAACAAAAAGAAAUGGCGUUC
Mustela erminea (ermine) is the source of this 2102-nucleotide long non-coding RNA. RefSeq lists it as uncharacterized. The transcript is spliced from 5 exons. The record is from RefSeq and is a predicted model, not a curated record. Lineage: Eukaryota; Metazoa; Chordata; Mammalia; Carnivora; Mustelidae.